Microtus ochrogaster (prairie vole) is the source of this 106-nucleotide small nuclear RNA. NCBI's taxonomy places the organism in Eukaryota, Metazoa, Chordata, Mammalia, Rodentia, Cricetidae. The record is from Ensembl.
GUGCUUGCUUCGGCAGCGCAUACACUACAAUUGGAAUGAUACAGAGAAGAUUAGCAUGACCAGCUCUAGCUUUUUAUGCAAAUUCCAAGAACCCAAAUUCAGGUUG